Molecule: ribosomal RNA, 253 nt
Filed under: uncultured Lachnospiraceae bacterium
Lineage: Bacteria; Bacillati; Bacillota; Clostridia; Lachnospirales; Lachnospiraceae
Description: partial 16S ribosomal RNA
Rfam family: Bacterial small subunit ribosomal RNA
Source: RNAcentral
UACGUAGGGGGCAAGCGUUAUCCGGAUUUACUGGGUGUAAAGGGAGCGUAGACGGCUGUGCAAGUCUGAAGUGAAAGCCCGUGGCUCAACCGCGGAACUGCUUUGGAAACUGUAUAGCUUGAGUACUGGAGAGGCAGGCGGAAUUCCUAGUGUAGCGGUGAAAUGCGUAGAUAUAUGGAAGAACACCAGUGGCGAAAGCGGCUCUCUGGUCUGUAACUGACGCUGAGGUUCGAAAGCGUGGGUAGCAAACAGG